RNAcentral lists this ribosomal RNA (252 nucleotides) under uncultured bacterium. RNAcentral's name for it is "partial 16S ribosomal RNA". It matches the Rfam family "Bacterial small subunit ribosomal RNA", at positions 524 to 776 of the family's 1533-position model. The record is from RNAcentral.
UACGGAGGAUGCGAGCGUUAUCCGGAUUUAUUGGGUUUAAAGGGUGCGCAGGCGGCACGGCAAGCCGGCGGUCAAAUCGCGGGGCUCAACCCCGCCCAGCCGUCGGAACUGCCGGGCUAGAGUGGGCGAGAAGUGCGCGGAAUGCGUGGUGUAGCGGUGAAAUGCAUAGAUAUCACGCAGAGCUCCGAUUGCGAAGGCAGCGCACCGGCGCCCUACUGACGCUCAGGCAUGAAAGCGUGGGUAUCGAACAGG